UAUAACAUUUACUAGAAUAAAAACCCAAAUUUAGUUCAAUUUAUUUAUUUUUUAGCCAUUUUGUAUCAACAUUACUGGCGAUUUUAGCCAAAUUUUAACCUCAAAUAAGAAUUCUAACUCAAUUUUAGAUCCUUUUGAUCUGAGCCGUUGAUCGAAAAUGAUCCAACGAUUGAGAUCCAAUCCUUCCUCUCUUUCCUUUUAAAAUACCAAAACACUCAAACCCUACCCAUUCUCACCAAAACAGCCGCCUCCCCUCCGACUUUCUCUCUCUACCUCUCUUCUCUCCCUUCUCUCUAAGGCAAAAGAGAAGCCGCCGGCCAACCACCAGUAACCUCGCCGGCUUUCCCCUCUCUUGACAUCGCAGGCGAAAUCCCGUCGGUUUCCCCGAUCGUCCUCUCCGUCGACCAACAGCAACAACCGUCAAACCACCCACGCCUCCAAGCCGUCGCCCAUCUCCAUCACCCAGAUCCAGCCGCGGUCACUCUGCCACCAUCAUGCCGCCUCCGUUAUCCCUCCCUCUCUGGUGAACUCAACGCGACAACAAACAGCAACUCCCGACGCCGCCUCCGUCUUCCCUCACCUCUAAUUCAUCACAUCCUCGCCGGAGUUGAUGACCGGAGAGGUUUUCAACGAACAUUCCUUCGAUUGAUGUUUCAGUUUGAUCUUUUUACCUUAAAUUUCAUGGUUUUUAUUUGCUUUGCUUACAAAUCAGGUUCUUAGUUUCAUAUUGUUGGACCCUGAAUUUUUAAUUCAACUUCUUUAAUUGCGUUUUGUUUACAUCGUUAGGUAGAUAUAGUGAAAAUUUUAAUUUUGUGACACUUAAUUUUAACCUAAAUCUUCAUUUUGAUUACUGAUUUCUACUUAAUUUUUGAUGUUAUUGUAUGUGGAUUGUGUUUUGCUUUGGUUGAUAUCUACAAAAUUCUGAUUCAGUGUUUAUGCUAAAUAUUUGAUUAUUUUACCAUUAAAGGAUGUUAUGGGACUGAUUUAGUGUAACUUUGAUGAGUGAAUUACUGUGAGAAGAUUCUCUUGUGAUUUCUCAAUCAAUUUUGAUAUAUAUGAUAAAUAUUAAGGUUGAUACAUGUUGUUUUAUUAUUUAUUUAUUUUAAAAAUAUCUUUUUUCUUAUCUAUUUAUGGUAAAUUGAUUCCGGAUUGAUUCAGUUUAGGUGAUUAAGGAUAUUAAUAAUAUUGUGAUUGAUUGUUAAAAUAUUCUUCUUCCUUUUACGUGCCUUGUGAUUUCUCAAUCAAAUUUUUGACAUAUAUGGUAAAAUUAAGGUUGGUACAUGUUGUUUUAUUAUUUAUUUAUUUAUUUUUAAAAAAUGUCUUUUUACUUAUCUAUUUAUGGUAAAUUGAUUUUGGAUUGAUUCAAUUUAGGUGAUUAAGGAUAUUAAUAAUAUUGUGAUUGAUUGUUAAAAUAUUCUUAUUGUUAAAAUAUUCUUCUUCCUUUUACGUGAUAACUCCUCCACUAUAAAAAGGAACUCCUCUUAACUUAGGGGGACAUCUCUUAUCAUCCUCUCCUACCCCUAUACGAAAACUCAGCGACUUCUAUAUUCUAUCACACUACAUCUGGAGUAAAUUCCUAGAUACUCACCAUGUUAGCGAAAUUAUCUACAAAUAUCAUUUUUGUUUCAUUUAGGAUAAAAAUAUCACUCAAUCUUUCUAUUUUUCUUAAAAUAUACUUAACAUUUCAAAACUCUUCUCUCCUACUUAGAAUUUAAUGUCAUUUAAAUUUCUUUCUUUUUUUGAUAAAUAGAUCUAUUUAAGUUAUCAAACUUAUUUAACUAAAAUUUUAUUCUAAUUCUUAUUUUUAAAAAUAAUACACAUGAUAUACUAAUCAUUGAAGAUUAAUUUAAUCACAUCAAAAGUUUGAAUUAUUUUAUUUGAUAUGUAUUUUUUAAAGUUUCUUUUAUUUACUUAUUUAUUUCACCACUUAAUAAUAUUUAAAACUCAAUUACUUAUAAAAAUUGGUACUCAUUUAAUUUUUUUAUUAUUUAUUUUAUAUAUUAAAAUUUUUUUAAAAUGUAAAAGAAAUAAAAUGAUGGAUUUUAUAUUUAGACAUUAAAUUUGUUAUUUAUAUGAGAAUAAAAGAAUAAAAUCUAUUUUUUGGGAUUAUACAAAAGAAUUUUUGGAUUAAUAUAAUCCAAAGAUAUUAUAUUUCCUUCAAAUGUAGAGUAAUAGAGAAUAAAAGAAUAUAAUUUGUUAUUUAAAAGUAUUGAUGAUAAACCUACGAUUUUUUUGUUGCCAAACAAAAUUCAAUAAUUUUUUUUUAUUAUGUAUUAUUACCUAGAAAAUUUAAUUUGGACAUAGAUUACUUGCAAUUUUUUAUGCAAGAUAAUUUUUGAUAAAUUUAUAGUAAAAAAAUAAUUUUUUUUGCAGAUUUUUUACAAGUAAUUUUCUAUAAAUAAAUCAUUAAAUCAGUAAGAUAAGACAUAAAUUUAGAAAACAAAUUAUUUUUAAUUUAAUUUCUUCACUUUUUCCCGUAAUCAUUAUAUUUAGAUUUUAUUUUAUUAUACAAUUAAACACUAAUUUAUAUCUGUACUUCAUUCUAAAUUCAUCAAAAGCAAAGAACAAUUGAUAGAGUAAUAUUUUAAAAAUUCAUUUGUAAUAUUACUGAAGAAGGUAUCAUUUUGUUAAUAUUUCUUAAAAAAUUUAAUUUGUUUCAAGACUACAUAAUUUUUUUUUCCUUCAAAAAAGGUGAUUUAUUUUUUUAUUAUCAUAUAAAUAACAAAUUUAAUGUCUAAAAUAUGAAAUUCAUCGUUUUAUUUUUUUUACAUUUUAAAAAUUUUUAAUAUACAAAAUAAACAACAAAAAAAUUAUUGUACCAAUUCGUAUAAGUACUUGUAUUUUAAAAUUAUUAUUAAGUGAUGAAAUAAAUAAGUAAAUAAAAGAAACUUUGAAGAUUACAUAUCAAAUAAAAUAACCUAAGAUUUUGGUGUAAUUAGAUUAAUUUUCAAUUAUCAAUAUAUCAUAUGUAAUUUUUUUAUAAAAAAGAAUUAGGAUAAAACUUUAAUCAAAUAAGUUUGAUAAGUUAUACAUUUAUAAAAAAAAAAGAAAUUUUAAUGACAUGGCAUUUCAAGUAGGAGAGAAAAAAAUUUUGAGAUGAUAAGUAUAUUUUAAGGGAAAAAAAGAAAAGUUGGAUGAUAUUCUUAUCCUAAAUAAAACAAAAGUUAUAUUUGUAGGCAAUUACCCAAACAUGGGUGACCAUUUUGGGAAUUUACUCCUACAUCUGAGUAUUCAAUUUUUAGUUGUUGCUAUUUUGAAAGAUGGCUGGUUCUUGCUUGUUGUUACAAUUAUUCGUCUACUUUGAAAAGUUCAAUUUCUUGUGUUAUUAUGCUGUUGACUAGUUAGUUUUCUCUAAUCGUGCAUUGGCUUCUUUUAUAUUAUUUUAUAUAAGUAUGUUCUUUUUGAUUACUUAAAAUGCUCGACAUUAUAAGCUUUUUAUUUAUUUCGUGCAUCUUUAUGACUUGUUGCGUUCAAGUAUUUGCUUUUGUUGACGUGAUAUGUUUUCUUCCUCAUUUGUAAGUGAGUGUUGUUCCAUUGUUGUAGUGUGGUUAUAUGUGAUGUGAAUACGAAAUAAUCUUUGUUCAUCUCAUAACUCCAUUGGCAUGAACUUGUUUGGGAUCCUUGAGAUCCUUAGGAUCUCGACAGUGCCAAUGAUUGAUUACGGGCUAUCAAAGUUACGUUUGUAUUUUUUGGGUUGAUUUUGUUUAUUGUCUUAUGUUUAGCAAGUUGGAUGAGAAAGAAAAUAAUUUCGAAAACCUGAAGAGUUGCCAAGGAAUUGGUUUAAGGACUAUCUCACUUGGCCCAUCUUUUAAAUUCAUUUAUUUUUUUUAGUUUACAAUAAUUAUUGUAUAAACUCUAUGACACUAGUGAAUUGAGGGACUGCCGGGGAUGGGAUUUUUAUGUGUUUUAUGUGUUACAUAAAUUACCUAGACAAACAAACUUAGGAUUUGUUAAUUAAUUGGUUGUUUAGGCAAAUCUAAUUUAGGACUUAAUUCAAUCACCUAGAAAUCAUGCUUGUAGGAGUCAAUUAACUUUUGUCUCCUCAAAUUACAUUUGAAUAUGUCAACUUAGCUUGCGACAUAUUUAAAUUAACUUUUGCCUCCUCAAAUUACAUUUGAAUAUGUCAACUUAGCUUGCGACAUAUUUAUUUACUUUGGCAUGUUUACAAAAUUUUGACACAUUACACUGUAGCAUUUUUAAUCACAUUUUCAACAAUUAUUUGUUAAUUUUUAGCAUUCAAAUAACAUCUUUUUUUUAGCACAUUAACUAAUUUUCUUACUUUGUUUAUGCAAAUAUUUUUAAAACACAACAUUAAUUGUUAAUAUUUUAUAAAAAAUGAUGCUUAAUUCUCUUUUUGCUAUUUGAAUUGGACUAUAUCUUUCUUAAAUUAUUACUUACAUGAAUACUAUCUCCUAACCUAUAGUUAGUGGGAAAGUAAAAAGAAAUUAAGAGGUCUAAUUCUUAUGUUUUAAAUUAAGCCGUUGCGUUUCCGAAAGUAUCACUCAUCAACAUUUUUAAAAACAUGAAGAUUAUGUGUAUCUAUACAUGUGUAAAUAUUUUUGUGUUUAUAUUUCAAAACUCAAAUUUUCACUUGUCUUCGAAAAUUAUAGUAUUAUUAUUUUUACUUAAGACCAACCUCCAAUCAAAAUUAUUGCUAAGGUAAAAGAGCGCGAUUCGUAAUAUCGUGACAUUUUUCCUAUAAAAGCGACAAACAUUUUCCUCAAACAACUUUAUUCAAAGGAUAGUUUAUGUUUCUUAAUUUAAUAUAAAUAUUUUGUUAUAAAUUGUUGUUCCUUCUUGCUUCUUGCUUCUCUACUUUACCUUAUUUGUUUCCCUUUUUUAUCACCACCUAGUUAAUAAUUAGAACGAUAAAACAUCUGUUUGCUUAUUUAUUAUUUUAUCACUUAGUCUAGUUUAAAUUAAAAUAAAACAAGAGACCUUUAUUUGAUCACAUAAACUCCCCACGUAAAAUACAUAUUCGGUCGGAAACCACCUUUGUGGACCUCGAAAGGUGCCUAACACCUUCCUUUCGAGGUAAUUUGAAUCCUUACCCGAAUUUCUGGUGAACUAGGACAAAUAACAAAAUAGGUUUGUAGCAUCCUAGACCGGUUCUGUAAUGCACCUUAAUUUGUUAGGUGACGACUCUUCACACUCUUCCCUUCAAACAAAUCCAAAAAGAGUGGUCACGUUGAAUUCCACUUUCCGCGAGGAAAUUGGGGCGCGACAGUUGAUAUUAAUUUUAGAAACUUAUUUUAUAUUUUGAAGGGAAUCAAAGUUACUAAUUUUCAAGUGAAUGAAAGUUAUUCAUUUUAAUAUUUUAUGUUGAAUAUAUUUUGGAUAAUGUUAUAGUAUGUGUUUUAUUCCAGUGUUCAGUAUGAUGUGUUCAAAUCUAACUUCAAAAUACAUAUGUAGUGUUUAAAUUUAACUACAAAAUACAUAUGCAGUAUUUAAAUUUAACUUAAAAAUACAUAUGCAGUUAACAACAUAUGUUUUUUAAUCUUUGUUCAUUUGAUGUCAAAUACAUAUGUUGCUUUAUAUUUCUAUUUCAAAUUCAUAUGCUACUUGAUAUUUGUAUUUUUACUAUGUGUUCAUAUACUAUAUAGUUUACAUUACAUACACAUGUUUAAUAUGUAUUAAGUUUCACAUAUACACAUGCAAUAGAUAUAUGUAUUUUAGGUUGAGUUAUAUUUGUAUUUUACUAAGUAUUCGUAUAAUUUUAAAUACAUAUAAUGAUUUAUACAUGUAUUUUAAUAUGUUUUCAUAUAAUAUCAAAUGCAUUAUCUUCUUCAUAUAUCUAUUUUACUACGUGUUCACAUACUAUAUAGAUUGCUAUGUGUUGUUAUAAUAUAUAGUUUAGCAAAUACAUUAAGCCAAAUUCGUAAAAAAUUAUAUUUUUUAAUAUGACGCCUAAUACAAAUUGAUAAAUGUAUUUUUGAAUACACAUCUUUUGAAAAUUAUUAUAUAAAAAUGUGUAUGCAUUUCAUAUUUCAAAUACAUAUAGGUCACCAUAUUUGAUAAAUAUCUCAGUUAUCAAAUACAUAUACCCUGAAACAUAUGUAUUUUUCAAAGCAAAAGCAUAUGUAUUUUUCUUUCAAAUUUAGUAAUACCUAGCUGUAUUACUGAUUGUCAUUUAUAACUCAUUAUAGGAAAUGGUAAAUAAAUGUCAGAAAACACAUUUAACAAAUGAGUUCAUUAUUAUGAAAAGUGUAAAAGAAAUUAUAAAAAAAAAUAUGGAAGAAUAAAUGUGUCAUUUACGAUAUUUCCUACACGAACUCCUAUUGUGACCCUUAGACCCACAACCACUGCAUGAGUUGAUGUUCUUCUUUCCAAACAUAUCCCUUCUGGAUUUUUCACGAUUCUUUUUUGCAGGUCUUCCAAGAGGUCGUUUGAACUUCAGAGGCAAUACUAUUUCACCAAGUAUGCUAUCUGAAAUUAUCCAUCUGAAAUUAUCCAGUCAUCUUUGUGUGGUAAAGGAUAUAUUGGAACAUCAUACGUUUUUAAGACUAUUUUUGAAUUAUACAGAUCACAACAAUAUGGUCCCUUGCUGAGAUGCUUGCUAUCCAAGACCGCACAAGCAUGUGCACAUGGUAUCUCAUCCAAUUGAAAUGCGUUACAUGAGCAUGUUUUUUUCCUGAGGCUAACAAUGAAAUGCUUUUCUUUGUCAUGCGUCUUGUACACAUACUCUGUGAUUGGUACAACCUGAUAUUAUUUUUAAAAAAUUAAAUUAAAAAGGG
This 6734-nucleotide long non-coding RNA is filed under the name Capsicum annuum. RNAcentral's name for it is "long non-coding RNA (CANN_LNC019869)". Lineage: Eukaryota; Viridiplantae; Streptophyta; Magnoliopsida; Solanales; Solanaceae. The record is from RNAcentral.